AAUGUGAUCUGGGUUCUGAUAUUAUCUCUGCGCUCUGCAGUGUGCCAUGGGCACAUGAGGAAUGUCAGAAGUCAUAACCAUGCCUGAUGACAACAGUUUCCUUUGGCCUGGUGUGGUAUUGUAAAUUGUCGCUUUUAGACCAACUUUUUAGUGAUAGACCCUCUCUAUGCUUUUUGUUGUAAGCUACUGCAGAUUCUUGCCACAGGUAUGAAGUAAAUUCUGUUAAUAGCCUUGAUUUUUCACCUGUGCCACCAUAUAUAUCUUUGCCAUGGCCUCAUGAUGGAUGGAAUAUACUUCCCUGCCCCUUGACUUGAUACUUGACCAUGUAACUUUUUUGGAACAAUGAAAGAUGAUGGAAAUGUCAGUAUACCUGUGCUCAGGUAUACUGUGCUAGGUCUUAAGAAGCCUCCAGUGUUUCCAGCUAUACAUCUGCAAUCACCAUGAGAAGGACCUGCUCAAGCAAACCACUAGUCACAGGAGGAGAAUGAGAGACACAUGGAGCAGAGCUGCCCUCAGAGUCCACCUAGAUUAGUUGUCAGCAGACCUCCAGUGGACUUGUAGAAACACAAGCAAUAAUAAAAGGCUGUUGUUUUAAGC
This 597-nucleotide long non-coding RNA is filed under the name Homo sapiens (human). RNAcentral describes it as "long intergenic non-protein coding RNA 1753". Lineage: Eukaryota; Metazoa; Chordata; Mammalia; Primates; Hominidae. The record is from RNAcentral.